RNAcentral lists this ribosomal RNA (629 nucleotides) under uncultured bacterium. Its description in RNAcentral is "bacterial SSU rRNA". It matches the Rfam family "Bacterial small subunit ribosomal RNA", at positions 79 to 704 of the family's 1533-position model. The record is from RNAcentral.
CUUGCUUCUCUUGAGAGCGGCGGACGGGUGAGUAAUGCCUAGGAAUCUGCCUGGUAGUGGGGGAUAACGUCCGGAAACGGACGCUAAUACCGCAUACGUCCUACGGGAGAAAGCAGGGGACCUUCGGGCCUUGCGCUAUCAGAUGAGCCUAGGUCGGAUUAGCUAGUUGGUGGGGUAAUGGCUCACCAAGGCGACGAUCCGUAACUGGUCUGAGAGGAUGAUCAGUCACACUGGAACUGAGACACGGUCCAGACUCCUACGGGAGGCAGCAGUGGGGAAUAUUGGACAAUGGGCGAAAGCCUGAUCCAGCCAUGCCGCGUGUGUGAAGAAGGUCUUCGGAUUGUAAAGCACUUUAAGUUGGGAGGAAGGGCAGUAAAUUAAUACUUUGCUGUUUUGACGUUACCGACAGAAUAAGCACCGGCUAACUCUGUGCCAGCAGCCGCGGUAAUACAGAGGGUGCAAGCGUUAAUCGGAAUUACUGGGCGUAAAGCGCGCGUAGGUGGUUCGUUAAGUUGGAUGUGAAAUCCCCGGGCUCAACCUGGGAACUGCAUUCAAAACUGACGAGCUAGAGUAUGGUAGAGGGUGGUGGAAUUUCCUGUGUAGCGGUGAAAUGCGUAGAUAUAGGAAGG